This 945-nucleotide ribosomal RNA is filed under the name Triticum aestivum (bread wheat). RNAcentral's name for it is "partial small subunit ribosomal RNA". Lineage: Eukaryota; Viridiplantae; Streptophyta; Magnoliopsida; Poales; Poaceae. The record is from RNAcentral.
AUGAGGAGGUUCUUGAUUGAUAGAGCAAGCACUGAAAAUGUGAAUGGUGUGCAAUCGGAAAAAGAAGUGGAGGCACAACCACCUCCUAACAUUGCCAAUGAAUUUAGUCCAAAUGAUAUUGAGCGCGAUCCAGGAAAGAGGAAACAAAUUUGUGAGUAUCCUCCUAAUAUUCAAGAUCAAGUGAGAAGAGCAUAUGUAUUGAAGGGUCCAAUGCAACCAGAUUUGAAUAAAUUUCCUCGUACUGAAUUUGGAAGUUCACGUUCAUCAAGAGCAUUUUCUAAAUCUUGGUACAAAAAGCAUUCAUGGAUUGAAUACAGUGAGUGGAAGAAGGCAGCUUAUUGUUUUUAUUGCUUUCUCUUUAAGCAACCUGGAGGGCCUGUGCACUUUGGUUAUGAUGUAUUCACCAAAGAAGGAUUCACUGAUUGGAAGCAUGCAUCUAAAGCCUUCAAAGAUCAUAUUGGUGGUCCUGGUAGUAAGCACAACUAUUGCGUCAAGCAUUAUGAUGAUUAUAAUAAUCAGAGACAAAGUGUGGCAAGCAAUUUUGCUAGAACAAACAAGGAAUCAGAAGAAAUGUAUAAGAUCCGCUUGACUUGUUCUGUAAGUUGUUCAAGAUAUCUCAUCGGACAAGGCUUGGCUUUCCGUGGACAUGAUGAAUCCUCUACUUCUCUGAACAAGGGGAAUUUUAGAGAGAUGAUAGAUUUGGAAAAGAUUAAAAAUGAACAAGUGAGAGAUGCUUUUUACCGUGGUGGAAGAAAUUGCACAAUGACAUCUGGUGACAUUCAAAAGGAGCUUGCAAUGUGUUGUGCACAUGAAGUUACCAAGAGGAUCAUGGCUGAACUUGGUGAUAAACAAUUCUCUGUGCUUAUUGAUGGAUCGCGUGAUAUAUUUGUGAAAGAGCAAAUGGCAGUGAUGUUGAGGUUUUUGAAUGACAAAGGAAAGGUUGUG